Molecule: ribosomal RNA, 398 nt
Filed under: Acanthamoeba lenticulata
Lineage: Eukaryota; Discosea; Longamoebia; Acanthamoebidae
Description: SSU rRNA
Rfam family: Eukaryotic small subunit ribosomal RNA
Source: RNAcentral
UUAGAGUGUUCAAAGCGGGCAGAUAUUUUUCCUGCCACCGAAUACAUUAGCAUGGGAUAAUGGAAUAGGACCCUGACCUCCUAUUUUCAGUUGGUUUUGUUUACAGCGAGGUUAUAUCAGGGUAAUGAUUAAUAGGGAUAGUUGGGGGCAUUAAUAUUUAAUUGUCAGAGGUGAAAUUCUUGGAUUUAUGAAAGAUUAACUUCUGCGAAAGCGUUUGCCAAGGAUGUUUUCAUUAAUCAAGAACGAAAGUUAGGGGAUCGAAGACGAUCAGAUACCGUCGUAGUCUUAACCAUAAACGAUGCCGACCAGCGAUUAGGAGACGUUGAAUACAAAACACCGCUGUUAAUCCUUUCGGGGGUUAAUAGUUGGUGAAUGACUCCCCUAGCAGCUUGUGAGAA